This 470-nucleotide transfer-messenger RNA is filed under the name Rickettsia endosymbiont of Omalisus fontisbellaquei. It matches the Rfam family "Alphaproteobacteria transfer-messenger RNA". From Rfam's summary of the family: Bacterial tmRNA, also known as 10Sa RNA or SsrA, is named for its dual tRNA and mRNA-like properties. Its role is to liberate the mRNA from a stalled ribosome. Lineage: Bacteria; Pseudomonadati; Pseudomonadota; Alphaproteobacteria; Rickettsiales; Rickettsiaceae. The record is from RNAcentral.
AACCUUUACAUUUUAAUCAAAUUAAGGCAUAAUAUUUGGUGCUAGUAAUAGCUAUAGUAAUAAACGUAAUUUAGAAUAGAGGUUGCGGACUCGGGGGCAGUACCCGACGCCUCCACCAAUACUCGAUGUUGUAUUUGUCAUCCCCGCGAAGGCGGGGAUCCAGGGUAAAGCGAGAUAAAUCGAGCUUUCAAAUAAAGCUUUAAAGUACUGGAUUCCCGCUUUCGCGGGAAUGACAUAGGGGCCGUACAAAAAGGCCUCGUCUACACAGACAUAACAUCAAAAUCUUGGGGGCGAAAUAGGAUCGACGUGCCUAAUAAAAAGAUUGCUUUUACUCGGGAUGAUUCCGCCGAUGGCUUUUGUCAUAUGGGUCAAAACAAAGAAACGCAAACGAUAAUAAUCGUGUAGGUGCAGCUUUAGCAGCUUAACCUUACGCGGCUUGGGGGUUUGCCGGGCAACAGAAAAACCCUCGC